GAUGAACGCUAGCUACAGGCUUAACACAUGCAAGUCGAGGGGUAACGAGAGGAAAGCUUGCUUUCCUUGUCGACGACCGGCGCACGGGUGAGUAACGCGUAUCCAACCUGCCCCCAACUAGGGAAUAACCUUGCGAAAGUAAGACUAAUACCCUAUAAUUUCCUCAGAUGUCAUCUGACGAGGAAUAAAGAUUUAUCGGUUAUGGAUGGGGAUGCGUCUGAUUAGCUUGUUGGCGGGGUAACGGCCCACCAAGGCAACGAUCAGUAGGGGUUCUGAGAGGAAGGUCCCCCACAUUGGGACUGAGACACGGUCUAAACUCCUACGGGAGGCAGCAGUGAGGAAUAUUGGUCAAUGGGCGAAAGCCUGAACCAGCCAAGUAGCGUGCAGGAUGACGGCCCUAUGGGUUGUAAACUGCUUUUAUACAGGAAUAAAGUUAGCCACGUGUGGUUAUUUGUAGGUACUGUAUGAAUAAGGACCGGCUAAUUCCGUGCCAGCAGCCGCCGUAA
Molecule: ribosomal RNA, 506 nt
Filed under: uncultured bacterium
Lineage: Bacteria
Description: partial 16S ribosomal RNA
Rfam family: Bacterial small subunit ribosomal RNA
Source: RNAcentral